Molecule: long non-coding RNA, 324 nt
Organism: Cyprinus carpio carpio
Lineage: Eukaryota; Metazoa; Chordata; Actinopteri; Cypriniformes; Cyprinidae
Source: Ensembl
CAUCAUGUAAACAUGUACAUAGUGAAAAGCCCAGUACUUUCCACAGUUUUAUGUGGAUGUGCUGACAUUAGCGAGUUUAAAUGUAGACGAUACGAUGCUGAGAGGUUUUAUGAAGCCACAUCUUGUUUAAAAUCUCUCUCAAGUGUGCAGGCACAACUUGUAGGCAAAAACGCCAAAGCUUUUGUACCAUUUGCAUAGCCAUUUCUAAUCCAAACGAGUGCCUGUGUGUGUGUGUGUGUGUGUGUGUGUGAGAGAGAGAGAGAGAGAGAGAGUGUGUGUGUGUGUGUGUGUGUGUAUGUUCUAGUCACACACACACACACUCUC